AACGCACAUUGCGCUCCCUGGUAUUCCGGGGAGCAUGCUCGUUUCAGAAUCAUUAACAUUCUCAAAGACACGGUUCUCGCAUUUUUGCGAGGCUGGAUCUUUCGGAUGUGAGCCUCUUUGCUUUGAUGCAAUGGCUUGAAAAUGAUUGUGUUUGCUACCGGCCUUAUGGUUCGGUUCUCUCAAGUGCAACAGAUGUUAAUUCAUUUCGUUAACUCUUGAUGAGGAACGUUCCUCAACCGGUGUUUGGCUUACACUCCAUCAAUUAUACCUUCAGCGAUACGUGUAUCGCUGUUUGAUAACUUGGUCUGAAAUCGAGCAAGAAAACCCGCUGAACUUAA
This 338-nucleotide unclassified non-coding RNA is filed under the name uncultured Powellomyces. RNAcentral describes it as "sequence contains ITS2". Lineage: Eukaryota; Fungi; Chytridiomycota; Chytridiomycetes; Spizellomycetales; Powellomycetaceae. The record is from RNAcentral.